Molecule: long non-coding RNA, 902 nt
Organism: Amphiprion ocellaris (clown anemonefish)
Lineage: Eukaryota; Metazoa; Chordata; Actinopteri; Pomacentridae
Source: Ensembl
GUGAGGAAGAGGAGGAUGGGAAGUUAGUUCCUCUGCUCUCCGACAAGAUGAACAGCUCAACGUUCACUGUGACUUUACUUUGACUGGAGGUUUUUUUUUCCAGAAAACAUAUUUUGGCACUUUUUUUGUUCUUUUCCUGCUUUGCAUAUGUUUAAUCCUCGUUUUGCAAAGUCGCUCUCAGCUGGAAGAUGUUGCUCUGCUGCUGGACAUGCACCGUUUUCCUCCUCGGCCUGCUGAGCUCCUCCUCAGCUGACGAUGCAGCAGCGGAGGACUUCGGAGGAGAGUCUGGCUCCGGGAUGCUGCAGGCAGAUGAGGUGAACAUCCUGCAGGAACUUUCUUUUCAAGUGUCCGACAGCAGAAACGCCUCCAUGAUUAAGGAGGCCGGCAGGUGUCCGGUGCUACAGGUGGGACAGUAUUCAACGCUGGCUCUGCCUCUGAGACAGAUCUUCACCGAUGGGUUUGAGGACGAGUUCAGUUUACUGGUGCAGCUGCGAAGCCCUCAGAGGGAAGAGUACAGCGUCUUCACGAUGCUCAGCCCUGACAGCCACGUCACGAUGCAGCUGCGGAUCAGCGCCGUCGCCGUCAUCUUCAUCGGAACGCAGCAGCGACACUACGAGUUCCCAGUUAGCGGUCUGUCCGAUGGAAAGUGGCACCAUGUGGCCGUCGGUGUGUCGUCCAGGCGGCUGGCGCUGUACGUGGACUGUUCUCUGGUGGAGAGCGUGGAGUGGGUUUACCACGGGAUGGGCAUCGGCAACGACGGGCUGCUGAUGGUCGGAGGCAUCAGUGAAGGAUUUGAGACGCCAUUUGAAGGUCACAUUCAACAGCUGUCCUUCCUGAUGGGGGACCCAGAUGCCGCCCAGCAGCACUGCAGCCACCACCCGCCCCGAUGCAGCGCCGCCGCC